UACGUAGGUGACCAGCGUUGUCCGGAUUUACUGGGCGUAAAGAGCGCGCAGGCGGUCGUUCAAGUCGAGUGUGAAAGCCCCCGGCUCAACUGGGGAGGGUCAUUCGAUACUGAUCGACUUGAAGGCAGGAGAGGGAAGUGGAAUUCCCGGUGUAGUGGUGAAAUGCGUAGAUAUCGGGAGGAACACCAGUGGCGAAGGCGACUCUUUGGCCUGUAACUGACGCUGAGGCGCGAAAGCG
RNAcentral lists this ribosomal RNA (238 nucleotides) under uncultured bacterium. Its description in RNAcentral is "partial 16S ribosomal RNA". It matches the Rfam family "Bacterial small subunit ribosomal RNA", at positions 524 to 761 of the family's 1533-position model. The record is from RNAcentral.